RNAcentral lists this transfer RNA (75 nucleotides) under Ruminococcus sp. RNAcentral describes it as "tRNA-Glu". It matches the Rfam family "tRNA". Rfam says of the family: Transfer RNA (tRNA) molecules are approximately 80 nucleotides in length. Their secondary structure includes four short double-helical elements and three loops (D, anti-codon, and T loops). Lineage: Bacteria; Bacillati; Bacillota; Clostridia; Eubacteriales; Oscillospiraceae. RNAcentral also lists the same sequence under 2 other names. The record is from RNAcentral.
GGCUCGUUGGUCAAGUGAUUAAGAUACCGCUUUCUCAGAGCGGAGUCGUAGGUUUGAAUCCUGCACGAGUCACCA